This 84-nucleotide transfer RNA is filed under the name Cominella virgata brookesi. Its description in RNAcentral is "tRNA-Asn". The record is from RNAcentral. Lineage: Eukaryota; Metazoa; Mollusca; Gastropoda; Neogastropoda; Buccinidae.
UAAAUGAAAGCCAAAAUAGAGGCACCUAGCUGUUAAUUAGGAGAAUGUAAUUUAAAUUUACUCAUUUAGUUAAUAAGGAAGAUA